This 285-nucleotide unclassified non-coding RNA is filed under the name uncultured Auriculariales. Its description in RNAcentral is "sequence contains ITS2". The record is from RNAcentral. Lineage: Eukaryota; Fungi; Basidiomycota; Agaricomycetes; Auriculariales.
AACGCAUCUUGCGCCCCUUGGUAUUCCGAGGAGCAUGCCUGUUUCAGUGUCACGUAAACCCUCACGCUUUGCGAUGUUACAAUUGCAAUUCGUGGAUUUGGACUGUGCCGUAGUUGGCUCGUCCUGAAAUGCAUUAGCUUGCGCUUAUUAGAGUGCUUGGCAUUGGUGUGAUAAUUAUCUGCGCCGUCGCCUUAUGCCUCUUCGGAAGUGCUGCUUCUAAUCGUCCGAAUGGACAACAUUUUAAACUUUGGCCUGAAAUCAGGUAGGACUACCCGCUGAACUUAA